Non-coding RNA from Tritrichomonas musculus, 72 nucleotides. NCBI's taxonomy places the organism in Eukaryota, Parabasalia, Tritrichomonadida, Tritrichomonadidae. The record is from the annotation of a GenBank genome assembly.
UCUCUUGUAGUAUACUGGUUAGAACACGGGUCUGAUAAACCCGAAAAGGAGGUUCGAUUCCUCCCAGGAGAA